ACACACACACACACACACACACACACACACACACACACACACCACUCUCAGGGGCCCCCUGGUAGUCACACGGCUCCAUAAUAUAACUGGCAAAAAUGUAAGAAUUUCAUGCAUCGGCCUACAGUGGGAAAAUUGUGUAAUCUGUUGGAAUAGAGUAGAAAUAUAAAAUAUCACUACUUGUCUUCUAAAUGAAAUGCUAUCAUUACAAAAUGCAUGUUUUUAUACUGCAAUGGCAGUGAGAUCAAAAAAUGUGGUCUGAAUGGAAGUCAAUGAGGCAUUUUUGAGAGAAAUUAAAUAAUUUAAAUAAUGAAACAGGCAUUUAAAGGGUUAAAAUCCUGAAAAUGAUUGAAUGUUUGGUAGUUUUGAGUACGUUAGAAGUUGUUUAUGUGAUUCAUGAACAAAAAAGUAGAAAAAGAUAUUGAUGUAUGAUGAUUUAAUAGCAGUUGUUUGGGGCGUGUACAUUUUUGCCACGAAGGUGUCCAGAGGUAGUAUCUGACACUACGUAAAAAAUAAUAAUGCAGUGAAAUCAAUUUUGUUGCUAAUCUUUGACACAUCCAAGACUCUAAUAACCACCAAAGUUCCAUCCCUCUACUAAUUAUUAUAUUUUUAAAAAAAAUCAUUUUUUGUGUUUUCUUUUCAGAAUAAUGAAUAAUUCAAAUAAUGAAACAGGCCUUUAAAGGGUUAAAAUUCUGAAAAGGAUUGAAUGUUUGGUAGUUUUCAGCACGUUAGAAGUUGUUCAACUGAUUCCUGGAAAAAAAAGUUUAAAAAAAUAUUGAUGUAUGAUGAUUUAAUAGCAGUUAUUAUGAGCGUGUACAUUUUUGCCACGAAGGGGUCCAGAGGGUGCAAAAUGCAUCACGAGAGUAUACAAAACAUGUAAGAGUAAACGACAAUGGAUUUCAAAAA
Molecule: long non-coding RNA, 903 nt
Organism: Notothenia coriiceps (black rockcod)
Lineage: Eukaryota; Metazoa; Chordata; Actinopteri; Perciformes; Nototheniidae
Exons: 2
Source: RefSeq, a predicted model, not a curated record